This 30-nucleotide non-coding RNA is filed under the name Mus musculus (house mouse). Lineage: Eukaryota; Metazoa; Chordata; Mammalia; Rodentia; Muridae. The record is from RNAcentral.
UUGAAGUAAAUAUCAUUACAUCUGUCAGGG